ACUGUGAGCCUCCGCUGUCCCCUCUCUCUGCUGCGGCCUGCAACUCCCCACCUCACCAUCGCCAGACACCUCUCCUAGCUCACCGGAGCCGCGGACUACACAACGAGGUGGGACCUGGGGCCGUUCUCUGCACCGCGUCCGGUGCCCUCGUGACCUUGAGCUCUGCGCUCUCUCCACUGCAGACGCUGAAGAUGCCGUUCCUCGGCGGUUCCGCUCAAGGGAGCUUGUUGGUAGCACAGCAAUGGAGGUUGUCAGUGUUUCCACGGGGGUGAUGAAACCGCUCUUGUCCAAGCUAACCAUGCUGCUGGGGGAAGAAUAUGCCAAGUUCAAAGUGUUUGAACUGGCGGAAUCAAUGGAAUCAAUGGUUUGAUGGGGAGUUCAGCGAGUGGCUCAAAUUUUUGGCAAAUUGAAGAGGAGCACACAGAGCAUGCAACAGAUGGAGAGACUGAACAAGAGGUAGGAAUGGUCACACUCGAGGGUGCUAGUCAGUUCUUUGUUCUCAUCCAAACAACAUGCUGUUCCCUGUGAAUCCUGUUUUCUCCAUGAAUCUCCUCAUCUUGAUUUCCUU
Molecule: long non-coding RNA, 568 nt
Organism: Phragmites australis (common reed)
Lineage: Eukaryota; Viridiplantae; Streptophyta; Magnoliopsida; Poales; Poaceae
Exons: 3
Source: RefSeq, a predicted model, not a curated record